CCUUUGACGUUAGCGGCGGACGGGUGAGUAACACGUGGGUAACCUACCUAUAAGACUGGGAUAACUUCGGGAAACCGGAGCUAAUACCGGAUAAUAUUUCGAACCGCAUGGUUCGAUAGUGAAAGGUGGUUUUGCUAUCACUUAUAGAUGGACCCGCGCCGUAUUAGCUAGUUGGUAAGGUAACGGCUUACCAAGGCGACGAUACGUAGCCGACCUGAGAGGGUGAUCGGCCACACUGGAACUGAGACACGGUCCAGACUCCUACGGGAGGCAGCAGAC
Molecule: ribosomal RNA, 279 nt
Filed under: uncultured Staphylococcus sp.
Lineage: Bacteria; Bacillati; Bacillota; Bacilli; Caryophanales; Staphylococcaceae
Description: partial 16S ribosomal RNA
Rfam family: Bacterial small subunit ribosomal RNA
Source: RNAcentral